CCUAGGUUCAAUCCUCUUGUU
RNAcentral lists this unclassified non-coding RNA (21 nucleotides) under Chlamydomonas reinhardtii. RNAcentral's name for it is "small RNA Cre_1141". The record is from RNAcentral. Lineage: Eukaryota; Viridiplantae; Chlorophyta; Chlorophyceae; Chlamydomonadales; Chlamydomonadaceae.